UAAGGCUACAGUCACUGCCAGCCAUGUCCUGCCUCUAAAACAACAAACACCGUUUUUAGCAUUUUAACGCGCCCACCAUAAGCAGACUUGCUGCUUAUUUUUUACAACUUUUUUUUUUUCUACAGAUAAAAGCGUCUUUUUUUAAUAAGAAGGAGGGAAGAUGUCUUCCACCGAGCAGAAGAGGAGCCCUGGCGUUCAGCUGGUGAGCGCGGCGCUGCUUCUGCUGCUCCUCUCGCUCUCUGGUUGUUCAAGCAUGGAUGUACUCGUGCCCAGUAACAUUAAUGCGCUGAAUGGAACAACUAUCAAAAUCCCCUGCACAUUUACUUCCUGCUAUAAGAUGGAUCCUGUUAAGUUUGCCAUGAACUGGACCUACCAAGAAUCAGUUAAUGACACAGAAGAGAUGAUUAUGACAUUCUAUAGGAAAAAAGGAAUGCUGCCUCUGCGUUCCGACCGGUUUGGAGAGAGGGUCACUUUUGCUGGGAACCUGGAUAAGAACGACCUAUCAAUCACCCUAUCAGAUGUUCAACUGGAGGAUGAGGGAAUUUACAACUGCUUUGUCAGAAACCCCCCAGACCGCAUCCAGGGACAUGGUGUCAUACAGCUCAAUGUUGUUACAGAACUUCCCCCUCCGAGGGAUUCAACCAUCGCAGUUGCGAUUGGGGCAUCAGUGGGUGGAGCAUUAGCUCUUCUGAUCCUUUCCAUGGUAGUUGUGAAAUGUCUUCGUCGACACCGGAAACAGGAACUGAUUUCAGAGGAGAAGAUGGAGGAGGAGGGAAAACUGGAGGCUGAAGGGGUUGCAGAGGAGGGAACCAAACAACCAUAGCUGGGUCAUCUGAUUGAACCAGCGGCCUGUGGAGCCCUCAUCCCCAACACCUCCUUUGACAUGUGCACCCCCUUCCUGAAGAUCUAUAGUUACCACUGCUUGAAUAAUCAUCCACUGAUACUUCCAUCCCUUCUGCAUGUGUGUGUGUGUGUCUGUGUAUGCCAGUGCAUACAAGUGUGCUUCUUAAUGUGUGUGUGUGUGUGUGUACUGAAUGUGUCUACGUGUGCCUGCGUAUUUCUAUAUGUAUGCGUGAGAGUGUUUUUUUUCCUUGAAAUGAAAACAAGCCAGAGAACCCUUUUCUGUAGCUUAACCACUAAACACGCAUUGCUUUAUCUAUAGCUACAGUUCAAUAUCAGCAGCAGUAGAAGUUUAUCUCCUGAUUAGGAAUGUCAUUUUCAUAGUAAACUUACAAUGGCCUAUACGGCUAGGGCUUGGUCUUUAUACCACAGUAUAGUUUGAAUAUGGAACGGUAACAAAAUUGCUGCAUCACAUUAUCAUAAAAUGCCUGAAGUUAAAUCUAUUAUUAAUGAACUAUUAAUGAAGUUAACAGUAGUUGUGGAGGCUUGAUGGAAGUUAAAAGCUUAUCAGACUGCAGACCAGACGUGUGUAUAUCUGUUGUGGGAUGGUAAAUCAUGCGUUUGCUCCAUUGUCUCCCAAUAGUUGCAGUCCAACUUUGGGAUUUUGUUUUGGGUGAAAUGUUUUGGUUUAACAUACUGCGAAUCAUGUUUUUUUCAACACUGCCUUAAAGCAAUGUCUCUCAGCUGCCUGUAUAGUCUUAACAUAGAUGCACAUGUUUGCACACGUGUAAUGUCCUUCCACAGCUGGCGUCUCUUAUUAUAAAGACAACUAAUAGUCAGUGACUCAGCCAAAUCAUAUCUGUAUGUCUUAAUGAUGUCCAUUUGUGUCUGAACCAGAGAAGUUUGUUCGAUGUGCUUUUUUGUUGACAUUUUCACAGCAGACAAUUUAACUUGUCAUAGUAGAAAAAGCACGGUGUCUCUGUUCUAAUUUGGACAUUUUCACUUAGUGGUGUACUCACUUUUGUAACCAGCGGAUUAGACAUUAAUGGCUGUGUGAUGUGUUAUUUUGAGGGGACAGCAAAUUUACACUGUUAUACAAGCUGUACACUCACUACUUUACAUUGUAGCAAACAUCAUCUGAAUAACUAUAGAUUAAACUAUUGAAUGACUAUAAUAUAGGGAGUAGUCAAUUAGUGAACAAGGGAGGUAUUUCAGAGAGAGACAGUGUGACAGUGAGUCAGCAUGCACAAUAACAGGACCCUCAAACUGACGCUAAAGCUAAACGGAAUUCAGCCAUCAUUCAUAUUGUGCUUUUUCUACUGUGACAUGUCUUCUGUGAGAAAAGCAGAGGAAGCAACACAUUCUCCAAUAACCACGUUAUUUUUGGGUCUUGCCUCUGUUUUCUGUCUGUCUUUAUUUAACAUCCACUUUUUGUUAUCAUACAAAAGUUUUGUUGUUUUGUUUUGGGGUUUUUUUGGUGUAAAAGGGAAGGGGAUGGCUUUUUAUUGGUCAUCAGUAACUAUGUAUAAAUUAACGGCACUGGUUAACUUGCAGUGAGUUAUAGUGAUACUUUAUGUGACUUUACAGUUAAAUGAAUUCCAUACUAAUACAAACAACAUAGCCAAAUCUUUAAAUUUCUACUGAAUGUCAUUACUGGUUAUACCAUGUGACAGAAACUUCUGCACCCUGGCCUUGUCUAGAGGAAUAACACGUUAGUGUGCCUGAAUAAAGUAGUAGUUGUAGUAGCAGGCACAUAUUUCAGUUACAAUAGGUAGUUUAUUUACAGGGUUAAAAUUAGUCUUAGUAUUAGAUAAUUCGAUACUUACAAUACAAAACUACAAUAUCCUUGACUGCAAUACAUUGUACAAUUAUUUCUUGUAAUGCGUAGGAAAACUGAUGGUGUUGAGCUUUCAUCUCAGAAUUCAUCCCUACAAUACAAAAAAAGCUAGCAUUGGAUGAGCAGUAUGUGGUUAGAGAUGUAGUAAAGUAAAUUAUUGUUUACUAAAUUGCAUUUUUGUCAAAGUCAAAAACAUAUCAAAGACAGUUUAAAGUGAAAAACUCACAUUGCACCCAGAAUCACAUCACAUGUUUCAUGUUGGUGCCAAUCUUUAUUAAUAUAGGAGGAAUAGGGCUGGACGAUUAAUCGAAAAGUAAUGGAAACCGAAAUUCAGAACCUCUAACCGACGUUACUUUCCCCUUAAAAACAUACUACUGCAUGUGUAGUCACGUGACUCCGCCCCAUCCAGUCUGUGGCAUGGGAGCAACAUGGAUGAGAACUCAACUAAGCAACAGGAGCAGCUUGUACCAAAGAAAAACGCAGUGUCCGUUUGGACACAUUUUGGCAUCAGUAAAAACGAAACCGAACAAAAUGAAUUUAAAUGUAAACACUGCAGAAAAACAGUUUCAGCGACCAAAGGUAAUACAACCAAUCAGUUUCAACACUUUGGUGCACAAUCACGUUACCAAAUAUAAACAGUGCCCGGCUCAAAAAAAGAGAGACCGACAAGCGCCCAGAAAUUGUCUAUAACAGGGUCAGUAUCAUUGUAGGGAGCCUUUUGGUGUCCUGUACAUAAAUAAUUAAUAUGUCAUGUUAAUGGUUGCUGAUAACAUAAAAAUUACUAUGGAAGUGUUAGUUAUAUAGUUUUUAUAUUCAUAAAAAAGUAUUAUUUUACUCUUUAGAUACAUUUUCUAGAUUUCUUUUGUUUUUGUUUUGUAUUAGGAUGCAUAUUAUUUUGCAAUGGAAGUCAUAUAUAUUCAUGCUCAAAAGAAUUAAGGGAACACUUAAAUUACAUCAGAUCUCGAUGAACAAAAUAGUUAAAAGUUCAAAAUUUUUACUGAAUAUUGUGUAACUCAUUGAGAACUAAAUGACGUCACAACGAUCAAUGGACACAAAAUCACCAACAUACUGACGGCAUUCAAAAUCACAUUGAAAAUCUGAGUGAAGUAAAAAAAAAUCAAAAUCACAGGGUGAUCCUACUUGUGUGGCGUUCAUCAAGACAACUCAUAAUUUGACUGAGUAGUGUGUAUGGCCCACAUUUCCCUUUUUGCACUCUCGACAACAUCUUGGCAUGCUCUUGAUGAGACGGUGGAUGUUGUCCUGGGGAAUAUCCUCUCAGACUUGGAUCAGGGUAUCUGUGACCUCCUGGCGGCGUCCGAUGCACCAACACAUAACGUCUAAUGAGAUUGUCCUGCACCAGGAGGACCUCAGGGCCCACUUCACAAGCGAAAGGUCUGAGAAUGGCUCUGCGGAUUUCAUCCUGGCACCCAACAGCAGUCAGAGUACCGUUGGCUAGCACUUGGAGAUCUGUGUGACCCUCCAAGGAUAUCAGCAUCUGUUUCCCCUAGACCAUUACUGAACCACCGCCAGACAGGUCACGCUGGAUGAUGUUAAAGUGGCAUGAAAGUUUACCACAGCUUCUCCAGAAAUCUGCUGGACUGUGUGCACAGAUCCCAUUAGAUGACAUCGGACCCUCUUGCCACCCUCAUAGAGUCUGUUUCUGACAGUGUGGUUGGAAACAUGCACACCAGUAGCCUGCUGGGUUGAUGCCCUUCUAUGGCCCUUUCCAGCUCUCCUCAUGUAACGGCCUGUCUCCUGUUAUCUCCUCCUGCUCUCGAGACUGUGUUGGGAGACACAGCAAACCUUCUUGCAACAGCGCGUAUGGAUGUGUCAUCCUGGAGGACUACCUGUGCAACCUAAAUGGGCUGCAGGUACUGCCUCAUGCUACCAGUAGUGACAGGGACACUAGCAAAACACAAAACUAGAGAAUAAUCAGUCAGGAAGGAUGAGAAAAAAGCAAAUGUCUGUGGCCACCACCUGCAAAACCAUUCCCUUUUGGAGAUGGUCUUGCUGUUGCCUCUUCAGUGCACCUGUUGUCACUUUCAUUUGCACCAAAACAAGUGACUUUGAUUCACAGUAGUUUAUGCUUCCUGACAGGACAGACUGACAUCCCUGAAGUCUAUUUGACUUGAAGGUAUACUGUGAUAAUUAAGUGUUCCCUUACUUCUUUGAGCAGUGUAUAUAGUCAAAUUAUAACAUUUUAAAAUUUAGUAUAUAUCAUUUGUUAAAUAAGAGAUUACUCAACUUGAGUGCAUUGAUAAUUUGGUAAUAAAAACAUAUUUUUGUUUUAUAAAACAGAAGAGUUUGUCCACAUCCCUUAAAUGGUUGUCCACCCUGUCAUGUUGGGGAAUCUGCCCCUUUAUGAAAAGGCCGUCCACUUUAGUUUUUUUGUCUCUUCAGUGGCAGGAAAUUGAAUGACUAAGUUGAGAUGUGACUUUCCAACUGACAAAUUUACUUUGUAUGAGUUUGCUUACUUGUUUUACCAAAGCUUAACAUGUCUACCCUAUCGACAUAAAUUAGACUGGAAGUGAUUGGAAUAACGAUUUUCAGAAAUGUUAGUCUAUCUAAAAAAAUGUGUGGAAGCUCAGCUAAUAUAUAUUUCUACAACUUACUGAAUGGGAAAUUAAGACCAAAAUGUGAGUAUUGUGGGGGGAUGAAAGGCACUCUAUGGUGAUAUUGACCCAACACACGCAUCUACAAAUGUUGCACAAUAUGAAAAGGAUUCAAGAAGAUGGAAAGAAAUAACUGAUGCUAUUUGUUACUACAUUGCGAACGAUAUGGUUCCCUUAGUGGAGGACAGUAUGUUUAAACACCUCGUUAAAACUCUAGACAAAAAAUACACUGUACCAUCGCGACCAUAUUUUCCCCAAACUGCGCUGCCCAACAUGUACAAAACAUAAAAAGGUAGCUGUGGAACUGAAGUCUGCACUUCAGCCACAUAUGAUCCCUAUGGUCCCAAGUAGGAUGGACCCAUACUUGAGCCUUACUGCACAACAGAUGCCUUGAAAUGGCAUACUGGCAUAUUUUCCAGUCUAUCACACGUCAGAGAUGAUUACACAGGGCCUGAGAGAUAGGCUUUCUGCGUACAAUCUCGCAAUCUCGUGACUCGCUGCCAUAUUCAAAUCAUUUAUAUUGUUUACAAAAAUUGCAAGUUAGUUAUUUUCUAUUUGACGUCCACUACAGACAGAUAUUUGGAAGCCAUUUUGAGCCAUUUAAGAUAUAGUGCCAUGUUCCAAUACAAUUCCAUUUGAUUAUUAUCUUACAUCGUCAUUUUGAUAGACUGCAUCAUAAAUUCGCCUCAGCAAUAUUGUGAAAAAAGGUUUAUAGGCAUACUUUUUCACUUGUUUAAAAGUAAAAACAAACAUUAAAAAAGGAUAUUACUUUGUGAUUUAAUAAUUCAUGCAUAAAAUGGUUAAAACUAAAAUGUGACUUUUUCACAAGACGUCUUCAUUUCAAGAAAUGUGUGCUUUGAUUUCAAUUGUUGAAAUAUUCAAUAAAUAACCAUAAAUAGUUUAUCUAUGUGUGUUUCCUUCAAUUAUUUUAAAGAUAAAGAUAAAACGUGCACUUUUUCAUUAGAAAAAACAUCCCACCUAUAAUAGUUGACCAUAUUUACAGUACAGACCUUGCAAGUGAAUUAUGAGGGUAAAAAGAAAAAGUGUGAUUUUGAUUUAAGUUCAUAUCGUCUAACCCUAGGUAGGAAUUAAAAAAGGUUGCCCAAACAGAAGACUGCACAUAGACACAGUUACAUAGUAACUCUUACCAUGACUUACACCCAGAUAAGAGGUGAGUCCCAUUUACAGAUAGUAGUACAGGAAAUAAUACCAAUUACCAAAUGAUCCUUAUAAAAUAUAAGUUUGGUUUGGUUAGUGUCUAACUGUUGUUAUCCAGGUAGAAUUAAUUAUUUUUUACUGAAGCAUGCCUAGUGUACUAUACCACCAUGAAUGCAUGUGAAAAAGUAGCCUACAUAUCAAAGAGAAAAAUUUUCUAAUAAAGUAAGAAACUUAAUUCUGUUCUGUUAAGUUUACCAGAAAACCACAUCAAUGUGAGUCAUUCAAAGCAUGUUUAAGCUUUCACUCUAUAUAGCAAUCAGGUGGCACCAUAUAUCAAAUAUAAUACCUGGAUUUUAUUUUGAUUUAAUUUUGAUACAUGCAUAUAUAAUUUACAUGCAUGUAUAACAUAGAAUGUCUGAAUGAGGUUGAACUUUGAUGAGUUUCAUCUGCUUCCAGUGAAAUAUCAAGAAACAAUUACACUUUCAAUACUUCAUGUCAUGAGAAAAAGCUUCCGUACAGAUUCUUAUAUUUGUCUUUUUAUUCUAGCUCCAACUGGAACCCUGUUUUAUAGAGAUUUGAAAAAAAAAAACUUUGAGCCAUUGCACCUUGAUACAAACACUUUGUAGUGUGUAUUUUAAAGCAGAUUAAUAUAUAAAAAAGUUUUAAAACUCACAUUCUCUUUCCAAAGUAAUGUAUUUACCUCAGCAGUGGUGUAUAAACUCUAGAUAUUGUUUUGCACAUUAACACAAUUAUACCAGUUCUAAGAAAAUCAUAAUGGAGAGCAUGUGAAUAUAAUGGAAAAGAGGAAAACAUAUUAAGCUCUCUUUAUUAAGAUGGUAUAUUGGAAUGUGUGGCUGUUGUAACAGAAACAUGGCAUGGUGAUUGUAUGGUUAAAUAGGAAAUGUAUUGUUAGUGUAUUUAAUUCAUCAUUUGUUUGAUUGGAUCACCUUAAAUGUAAAAUAUAUAUAUGUAUAUCUUAACAAGAUACAUGAUCACUAUUUAAAGUCCAUUUUACAUGCAUGUCAGCUUUGUUAAUCUCUGAAUGUCCUAUGAUGUUUUAGCUAUGAUGUGAUAUCGGAGCAGUUGUGCCAUAAAGAGGUGUCUCUAUGAUACCUGUAAUGUCUCAACCUGAUUAGCUACAUUAUCCAGCAAUUGGAGUGUGGUUAGUGCUUCCAAAUCUGGUGGCUUGGCUAGUCCUGGUUUCUGACAUUGUUGAAAAAAAACAACAACUGUGUACAGGUCUGUGUUUAUGUCUAUUAUUUAAUUGGGGUCUUUUUAUGGAUUUUAUUAUUUCGGAUUCUAUCAUUUAUGUUGUGCAACAUUAUGGGUGAUGUAUUGUGUGAUUUCCUAUUAAAAACAUAUCUUUGCCAUCACAAUAAUAUUAUGUUUACGUUUAUGUGUCUUUAAUACAAUCAUGCUGUGAAGAACAACAAUAAAAUGGUGAUAUGUCAAUAUAUUAAAAUAGUUGGCAAAAUGCAUAGAACUUGCAUAGAGUUAUUUGGUUGUGAGAGCUCUGAUUCUGUCAUGUUUCCUGGGACACUGCUGUACUGCUGUCUGUGUAUGAUCAGUGUUGGGCAGCAACUAUUAUUACUUUCUCCAGUAACUAGUAGUAUAAGGGAAUAAUAUUUCCAAAACAGUAAAAAAAUAUUACAGUUAUUAAUCCAAGUAAAGCUGCGUUACCUCGUUAGCAGAAACAAACAAAUUGUUUGUUUUUUUGACCUAGACUGCCGUCAGGGGCAGUUCAAGUCAGCUGCUAUCUAAAAGGCUAAAUGAAGACUGCAGAAUAAGCAGCUAGUCAACAGGUGGAACAUAGUUUAUACUGUAUAGAAUCAUCUGGUUUGGCUGCAAUGUUUUCAGUUUGGCUGACUGUUGACUCCAAUGAAGUUAAUUAAAUUGUAUAAUGUGCUGGCUAAACAGACAGGGGCGGGACAGUGAAAGUAAUAUAGUAAUAUAAUGAGUAAUGUAACUAAUUACUUUUUACCCUUUAAUAAGUAAAGUAAUGUAAUUACUUUUUGAAGGAGUAUUAAGUAAAAAGUUACUUAUUACAUUUCCUGAGUAACUUACCCAACAAUAGUGAUCAUGCAUGUUUAAGUUGCUGGGUUUGUGUGGUCGACCCAUAAGCUGAUGACAGGUUAACAUUUGGGGUAAAUUUAGUGCAGUUUUUACCAGGAAGGUUUUGUUGGCAAAUAUGAAUUCACAUACAUUACUGUAUAUUGUAUAUAUUGUAUUUUUCAAUGAUAAACAAUUAAACGGACUACAUCAUUGUUUGUACAUCACUGUUCCCCACUUCUGGCUAUGAGUUGUUGCUGAAUAGUUGGUCUUGUAUCACUUUAAAUGUUAGUGAACACCAAACUAAUGCUUGCACUGUGCUGCAGCUGUCAUUACAUUAUGUAUUUUAAAUAAAGAUGAUUUAGGAAA
Molecule: RNA transcript, 8865 nt
Organism: Micropterus dolomieu (smallmouth bass)
Lineage: Eukaryota; Metazoa; Chordata; Actinopteri; Centrarchiformes; Centrarchidae
Gene: scn2b
Gene name: sodium channel, voltage-gated, type II, beta
Exons: 6
Source: RefSeq, a predicted model, not a curated record